Molecule: ribosomal RNA, 332 nt
Filed under: Coleoptera sp. ACP-2013
Lineage: Eukaryota; Metazoa; Arthropoda; Insecta; Coleoptera
Description: 12S ribosomal RNA
Source: RNAcentral
CCUAUAAUUGAUAAUCCACGAUUUAAAUUACUUAAUUUAAAAGUUUGCAUAUCGCUGUAAAAUGAAUAUUUUAGAAAAAUAGUAAUAUUCAAGCUUUUUAAUUUAAAAAAUAAUUCAAGUCAAGAUGUAGCUUAUAAUUAAGAAGAGAUGAAUUACAAUAAAUAUAUUUAAAUGGAAUAUUAAAUGAAAUAUUAAUAUAAAAGUGGAUUUAAAAGUAAUUAUAAAAAAAUAUUUAUUAUGAUUUUAGCUCUGAAGUAUGUACAUAUCGCCCGUCACUUUCAUUAUAAAGUGGAAUAAGUCGUAACAAAGUAGAUGUACUGGAAAGUGUAUCU